Molecule: long non-coding RNA, 1106 nt
Filed under: Monodelphis domestica (gray short-tailed opossum)
Lineage: Eukaryota; Metazoa; Chordata; Mammalia; Didelphimorphia; Didelphidae
Description: lncRNA (ENSMODG00000030659.2)
Source: RNAcentral
UAGGGAGGAAUCUUGUUCAUUCAUUUACCCAUUCUAGCUGUGGUAACCAGACCAAAGGUGGUGUCUGGAAAGCAUGAUGAAUAUGGAGUCAGAAAACCUGAGUUCUAAUCCCACUUCUCUAAAGCUUCAGGUUCCUCUUCUACAAAAUGAAAGGAAUUAGAUGAAAUGACCCCUACUUCUUGCUUUAUAACCAUGGGUCUAGUUAACUUCCUGCAACUACACAAAAUAAUCAGAGUCAUCCAAGUCCAGUGGCAAGACAAAAGUUAGGAUCUCAAGCCUGUCUGUGAGUUAGGGGGUGUCUACCCCAGGCAUGUGAAGGCUAGAGAAUCAGACUUGCAGUCAAAAACAAGACCUCAAGACACUCUAGGUAUGUGACCCUGGGCAAGGUAUUUAACCUCUCCCAGCCUUGUUAUUCUUAUAUAACUAUAUAACUGUAUAAAAUAUUCUAUAAAAUUGGCAUAAUAACAUUUGUAGUGUUUAUCUCACUGUGUUGUUAAGAAGAUCAAAUCAUCAUUAGAUUCCUUAUUUGUAAAAUGAAGGAAAAAAAGACAUUGCAUUUGAUUCAGGGUUGUUGUGAGGAAAUAAUGAGAUUAGUUAUGUAAAGUGCUUCACAAAUCUUGAAGUGCUAUAUACAUUUUAGUUACUUUGCAAUUCCAUUGAAAUGUUCACUAUUGAGAGUUGGACUCUUAGCAUAGUUAUCUGAUCACUUUGUAUCCCCAGUUCCUCGAUCAGGGGUUUUCCCCAUAGUAGACAGACUGGUGUUAAAUUUAUGGGCAUCUUUGAAAAUCAUCCUGAGCAGAUUAAAGUAGACAGGAAGAGAGGCAGGUAGAGAUGAUACUCUAAGACAAUGACUUCCAAAUGUUUUUGAUUGUGCACCUCUAUCAUUAAAAUAUUUUUGAGCUUUCAUUCUCAACAUGCAGAAAAAUAAUUUUGUACAAUAUCAGGUAUCCCUUUCAAAUUGAGACUUUUCUCAUCAAGGUUUAGGCUUAUUGGGAUUGGCAUAAGAAAUUAAAUGGGAACAUUUUUUGGAAUUUGAAGAAGAUGCAGAGGAGGUAAUGGUCAUCAGAUGAUACCUGGGGAAAAAAAACAACAACUUAGAAACUCAG